This 51-nucleotide ribosomal RNA is filed under the name Ctenarytaina spatulata. RNAcentral's name for it is "partial 28S ribosomal RNA". Lineage: Eukaryota; Metazoa; Arthropoda; Insecta; Hemiptera; Aphalaridae. The record is from RNAcentral.
UGACCUCGGGUUGUACGGGAUUACCCGGUGGAUUUAAGCAUAUUAAUAAGC